AGUGAACGCUGGCGGUAGGCCUAACACAUGCAAGUCGAACGGCAGCACAGUAAGAGCUUGCUCUUACGGGUGGCGAGUGGCGGACGGGUGAGGAAUACAUCGGAAUCUACUUUUUCGUGGGGGAUAAUGUAGGGAAACUUACGCGAAUACCGCAUACGACCUACGGGUGAAAGCAGGGGAUCUUCGGACCUUGCGCGAAUGUAUGAGCCGAUGUCGGCUUCGCUAGUUGGCGGGGUAAAGGCCCACCAAGGCGACGAUCCGUAGCUGGUCUGAGAGGAUGAUCAGCCACGCUGGAACUGAGACACGGUCCAGACUCCUACGGGAGGCAGCAGUGGGGAAUAUUGGACAAUGGGCGCAAGCCUGAUCCAGCCAUACUGCGUGGGUGAAGAAGGCCUUCGGGUUGUAAAGCCCUUUUGUUGGGAAAGAAAAGCAGCAGGUUAAUACCCCGCUGUUCUGACGGUACCCAAAGAAUAAGCACCGGCUAACUUCGUG
This 492-nucleotide ribosomal RNA is filed under the name uncultured bacterium. RNAcentral describes it as "partial 16S ribosomal RNA". It matches the Rfam family "Bacterial small subunit ribosomal RNA", at positions 29 to 507 of the family's 1533-position model. The record is from RNAcentral.